Molecule: ribosomal RNA, 492 nt
Filed under: uncultured bacterium
Lineage: Bacteria
Description: partial 16S ribosomal RNA
Rfam family: Bacterial small subunit ribosomal RNA
Source: RNAcentral
AGUGAACGCUGGCGGUAGGCCUAACACAUGCAAGUCGAACGGCAGCACAGUAAGAGCUUGCUCUUACGGGUGGCGAGUGGCGGACGGGUGAGGAAUACAUCGGAAUCUACUUUUUCGUGGGGGAUAACGUCGGGAAACUUACGCUAAUACCGCAUACGACCUACGGGUGAAAGCAGGGGAUCUUCGGACCUUGCGCGAUUGAAUGAGCCGAUGUCGGAUUAGCUAGUUGGCGGGGUAAAGGCCCACCAAGGCGACGAUCCGUAGCUGGUCUGAGAGGAUGAUCGGCCACACUGGAACUGAGACACGGUCCAGACUCCUACGGGAGGCAGCAGUGGGGAAUAUUGGACAAUGGGCGCAAGCCUGAUCCAGCCAUACCGCGUGGGUGAAGAAGGCCUUCGGGUUGUAAAGCCCUUUUGUUGGGAAAGAAAAGCAGCAGGUUAAUACCCCGCUGUUCUGACGGUACCCAAAGAAUAAGCACCGGCUAACUUCGUG